AUAAAAGUGUCAGAAGUUUAUGAGUUAAUUUUAAGCGUUAAUUAUGGGUUAAAACCCCUUUUAUU
RNAcentral lists this transfer RNA (65 nucleotides) under Dactylogyrus lamellatus. RNAcentral's name for it is "tRNA-Leu". The record is from RNAcentral. Lineage: Eukaryota; Metazoa; Platyhelminthes; Monogenea; Dactylogyridea; Dactylogyridae.